AAUAAGUACAAAUCCCCAAGGAAUUAAUCUUGUUGUAAAUGAUAUGGACAUCAUGGAUAUUUCGAUUAUAGACGUUUUUGAUAUAUGUUCGAUGACGAGGUCCAGACUAGGAAACAAGGUAGGGGACAAACUCGCAUAAUAGCACUAAAAAGACAACCAUGGAAGAGGGUCUCCACAAAACAAAGCAGAAACGAUCCUGGACCAACCUCCACAGGAUGCAUCUUACCCAACAGAAGCCUUCAUGGUUGACACUGAAAUGCCCUGAAAAAUUAUCAUUUCCAUGGUUUACCUUUGGGCAACUUUAAGACACAAGUAUUCAGUAGAAGCACAUCAGG
Molecule: unclassified non-coding RNA, 335 nt
Filed under: Hevea brasiliensis (rubber tree)
Lineage: Eukaryota; Viridiplantae; Streptophyta; Magnoliopsida; Malpighiales; Euphorbiaceae
Source: RNAcentral